This 406-nucleotide long non-coding RNA is filed under the name Lathyrus oleraceus (garden pea). RNAcentral's name for it is "Pisum sativum (pea) long non-coding RNA (PSAT_LNC022181)". Lineage: Eukaryota; Viridiplantae; Streptophyta; Magnoliopsida; Fabales; Fabaceae. The record is from RNAcentral.
UUUGAGCAUGAGGUUGAAUUCGUGAUAAGGAGACGAUCACAUUGGUGGUAGUCUCAUGUUCUUACUUUGCCAAAUGAUGAAGCUUCGAUGAGGGAUCACCAGAGUUGUUUCAGGCCAUCCGACUUGACUAUCCACGUUGACAUUUUGAAAUGUUUUGAUUGGUCCAUUUUGAAUGUGAUUCCAUGUUUUAUUCUGACUAUUUUCCACCAUGCGCCAUAGCUUGAUAGUUGUUGGAUCUGCCACGUCAAUUAAUAAGGCAAGAUCCAACGCCUCUGUUUUUUUCCUGUUUUUUAUUUCCUUUUCUUUUUUAUUUUAAAUUGUAUUUUCUUUAAAAAUUCAUAGAAAGUUCAUUUUUUAUCCAAAAAAAUCCCUAAAUAAUUUCUAAAAUUUUAUUUUGUUAUCCUUC